UGGCAGACGGGUGAGUAACGCGUGGGAACGUACCUUUCACUACGGAAUAGCUCCGGGAAACUGGUGGUAAUACCGUAUACGCCCUCAGGGGGAAAGAUUUAUCGGUGAAAGAUCGGCCCGCGUUGGAUUAGCUAGUUGGUGAGGUAAUGGCUCACAAAGGCGACGAUCCAUAGCUGGUCUGAGAGGAUGAUCAGCCACAUUGGGACUGAGACACGGCCCAAACUCCUACGGGAGGCAGCAGUGGGGAAUCUUGCACAAUGGGCGAAAGCCUGAUGCAGCCAUGCCGCGUGAAUGAUGAAGGCCUUAGGGUUGUAAAAUUCUUUCGUCAGGGAUGAUAAUGACCGUACCUGAAGAAGAAGCCCCGGCUAACUUCGUGCCAGCAGCCGCGGUAAUACGAAGGGGGCUAGCGUUGUUCGGAAUUACUGGGCGUAAAGCGCACGUAGGCGGAUUUUUAAGUCAGGUGUGAAAUCCCGGGGCUCAACCUCGGAACUGCAUUUGAAACUGGAAGUCUUGAGACCAGGAGAGGUUAGCGGAAUACCGAGUGUAGAGGUGAAAUUCGUAGAUAUUCGGUGGAACACCAGUGGCGAAGGCGGCUAACUGGACUGGUACUGACGCUGAGGUGCGAAAGUGUGGGGAGCAAACAGGAUUAGAUACCCUGGUAGUCCACACCGUAAACGAUGAGAGCUAGUUGUUGGCAGGCAUGCCUGUCGGUGACGCAGCUAACGCAUUAAGCUCUCCGCCUGGGGAGUACGGCCGCAAGGUUAAAACUCAAAGAAAUUGACGGGGGCCCGCACAAGCGGUGGAGCAUGUGGUUUAAUUCGAAGCAACGCGCAGAACCUUACCUACCC
RNAcentral lists this ribosomal RNA (848 nucleotides) under uncultured bacterium. RNAcentral's name for it is "bacterial SSU rRNA". It matches the Rfam family "Bacterial small subunit ribosomal RNA", at positions 96 to 980 of the family's 1533-position model. The record is from RNAcentral.